AAUACUAGAUUGCUGCUACUGUUUUCAUUAUUUGUUCUAUUACUUAUGCCACACAAUUGUUUCAUGUCUAGGAAAAAUGUGAAAAGGUCCGAAUGAACCGAUCAAAAGUUAAGUUGCAUGGGUGUACUGGAUCUCGGUCUUACAUUGCGGCAGCCUACGCCGCGAAGCAAGAAAAAUACAAAGAUAUAUAGCCCACUGCAAUUGAUCUAUUCAAGUUGACGCAUUGCAGUAAAACUAAGGAUUUAAGUGAUGAUGCCAAGAAAGCUGCAGAUGAUAUGGAAGCCAUUUUGACAAGACCAGUACAACAAGGGGAGCAGGAAAAUACUUGCACAGAGAUUGUUUCCCAAGUGUUGUCAAAGUCAAGCACAUUCCUUCGUAAUGUGGGACUUCGGCAGACUGUUGCUGCUCCAAAAUCCGUAUCACCGCAGAUGCAGGAGCUACGAGCUCAAUUGGAGACUGAGAAAGAAGAAUCUGCAGGACUUCGACAAAAGCUCGAGAAGAUGGAAGCACAGGCAGAAGAAUCUAAGGCAAAAGCUCAGAAACAAGUUGAGGAGACUGACAUCUUGGAGAAGAAAAUAGCAGAAACUGAGAACCUUGUUCGGCAGAUGAUAGCAUUUGGACAGAGUCAAGUCACUCAUCAGACCACUCUCCCUUGACUUGGUUGUGUUCAGGUUGUUCAACUCAUUUUGCCGAUCUAUGAAUGGAGUUCGGGUGUGACUAUGACUAUAGUCUGGAACCAUGUUUCUUUGCUUUUGGCGUGAGUAGAGUGUGGUUUGGUGAUGACAUAAACUUGUGCUUCUUGUUCUUGCCGUGACAUGCAAUGUGACUGGAGUGUGGCUAUGGUUGUUGGUGAAAAAGUGAUGACUAAAACUUUUCAUGCUGCUAUUGAUGUAUGGUUGGUCAUAUAGAACUUUGUUGGACCAAUUUUAUUGUGAUUCAUGUGUAUGGCUAGUGAAAGGUUAGAACUAUUGUAUGAACCAUUCUAUCGAUGUCGCUCUGUUGAGCUAUUGUAUGGCUGAUAUGAACCAUCAAUUUUAGAGGAAAU
This is a long non-coding RNA of Oryza brachyantha (malo sina), 1045 nucleotides long. RefSeq lists it as uncharacterized. The transcript has 4 exons. The record is from RefSeq and is a predicted model, not a curated record. Lineage: Eukaryota; Viridiplantae; Streptophyta; Magnoliopsida; Poales; Poaceae.